AACUUUUUGAAUCUGUGAAGAGAUUUCGUCAGACACUAAUUCAUUAAGGCUGAUCAGACUUCCGAGAUAAGUGAAGGU
RNAcentral lists this microRNA precursor (78 nucleotides) under Schistosoma margrebowiei. Its description in RNAcentral is "mir-3492 microRNA precursor family". It matches the Rfam family "mir-3492 microRNA precursor family". Lineage: Eukaryota; Metazoa; Platyhelminthes; Trematoda; Strigeidida; Schistosomatidae. The record is from Rfam by way of RNAcentral.